RNAcentral lists this transfer RNA (73 nucleotides) under uncultured Candidatus Thioglobus sp. RNAcentral describes it as "uncultured SUP05 cluster bacterium tRNA-Pseudo-CGA". The record is from RNAcentral. Lineage: Bacteria; Pseudomonadati; Pseudomonadota; Gammaproteobacteria; Pseudothioglobaceae (SeqCode).
GCAUCGGUGGCGUAAUGGUUAGCGUGCUCGCCUCGAGUGCGGUAGAUCGUGGGUUCGAGCCCCGGUCGGGUCA